UGACUUCUCAAUAUUUGCUACCAUGAUAUGC
Molecule: non-coding RNA, 31 nt
Filed under: Rattus norvegicus (Norway rat)
Lineage: Eukaryota; Metazoa; Chordata; Mammalia; Rodentia; Muridae
Source: RNAcentral